GGGGGGGAGCACUCCGUGCUAGCUCUUUGACGUUGCGGCGGAGGGUGAGUAACAUGUGGGUAACCUACCUAUAAGAUGGAAAAACUCCGGAAACCGGGGCUAAGCCGGAAACAUUUAGAACCGCAAGGUUCUAAAGUGAAAGAUGGUUUUGCUAUCACUUAUAGAUGGACCCGCGCCGUAUUAGCUAGUUGGUAAGGUAAUGGCUUACCAAGGCAACGAUACGUAGCCGACCUGAGAGGGUGAUCGGCCACACUGGAACUGAGACACGGUCCAGACUCCUACGGGAGGCAGCAGUAGGGAAUCUUCCGCAAUGGGCGAAAGCCUGACGGAGCAACGCCGCGUGAGUGAUGAAGGGUUUCGGCUCGUAAAACUCUGUUAUUAGGGAAGAACAAACGUGUAAGUAACUGUGCACGUCUUGACGGUACCUAAUCAGAAAGCCACGGCUAACUACGUGCCAGCAGCCGCGGUAAUACGUAGGUGGCAAGCGUUAUCCGGAAUUAUUGGGCGUAAAGCGCGCGUAGGCGGUUUCUUAAGUCUGAUGUGAAAGCCCACGGCUCAACCGUGGAGGGUCAUUGGAAACUGGGAGACUUGAGUGCAGAAGAGGAAAGUGGAAUUCCAUGUGUAGCGGUGAAAUGCGCAGAGAUAUGGAGGAACACCAGUGGCGAAGGCGACUUUCUGGUCUGUAACUGACGCUGAUGUGCGAAAGCGUGGGGAUCAAACAGGAUUAGAUACCCUGGUAGUCCACGCCGUAACGAUGAGUGCUAAGUGUUAGGGGGUUUCCGCCCCUUAGUGCUGCAGCUAACGCAUUAAGCACUCCGCCUGGGGAGUACGACCGCAAGGUUGAAACUCAAGGAAUUGACGGGGACCCGCACAAGCGGUGGAGCAUGUGGUUUAAUUCGAAGCAACGCGAAGAACUUACCAAAUCUUGACAUCCUUUGACCACUCUUGAGAUAGAGCUUCCCCUUCGGGGACAAAGUGACAGUGGUGCAUGGUUGUCGUCAGCUCGUGUCGUGAGAUGUUGGGUUAGUCCCGCAACGAGCGCACCCAUGAACUUAGUUGCCAGCAUUUACUUGGCACUCUAGGUUGACUGCCGGUGACAACCGGAGAAAGUGGGG
Molecule: ribosomal RNA, 1115 nt
Filed under: Staphylococcus arlettae
Lineage: Bacteria; Bacillati; Bacillota; Bacilli; Caryophanales; Staphylococcaceae
Description: bacterial SSU rRNA
Rfam family: Bacterial small subunit ribosomal RNA
Source: RNAcentral